RNAcentral lists this microRNA precursor (65 nucleotides) under Caenorhabditis elegans. RNAcentral's name for it is "Cel-Mir-63_pre stem-loop". Lineage: Eukaryota; Metazoa; Nematoda; Chromadorea; Rhabditida; Rhabditidae. The record is from RNAcentral.
UCUAACUCGUCGGUAGUCAUCGUUCUAGCUGAAAAGGACACUAUGACACUGAAGCGAGUUGGAAA